Molecule: long non-coding RNA, 569 nt
Filed under: Heterocephalus glaber (naked mole-rat)
Lineage: Eukaryota; Metazoa; Chordata; Mammalia; Rodentia; Bathyergidae
Description: lncRNA (ENSHGLG00100040799.1)
Source: RNAcentral
GUUAUACUCUCCUCCAAGGUUAAUUCAAUCUGAGCUUUCACAUUUUUUACUUUUUGUAGUAUAAUUGGCAAAACUGAUGUCUAGCCUAAACUUGGCAAAUAGUAAUGGUUUGCUUUUCUUUUUUACUUUUGCUGAAGUGAGCCCUUCGGGACAUCUGUAGGUCAGCUCUUGUUGGUGAAUUGAGUACAGCGGAAGCACCUGCACUUUGGAAAUAACUCAAGAUUAUGUGUAUCAAAAGAAGUCAAGCAGCAAAGUUUCUCACCCAUAAACAAAUAAACAGAAAUACUUUUUGGAGUAUUGACUGCAUCAGCAUACGCCAUGGACACAUCCAGAGAACCUAGUAAUACAGUGUGACACUGUGUGUUGGUACUUCCAGGAAGCACGGUGGUGCUACGAGGGGAGGCAGACCCAGUUGUGCACCUUGACCUUGGCAUGUUUACACCAGCAUUUGGGUCAGCUGCUCCCGGUAGGAAUCUGAAUCACUCACACCAGCUUCCUAGAGGCAAGAGGUACUGUGCUCAAAUCUCUGGAAGAAUUAUUUUCUCUCUAAACCACCCUCAUGAAACAGG